UGCAAUCAGACGUACCUUCCACAG
RNAcentral lists this non-coding RNA (24 nucleotides) under Mus musculus (house mouse). Lineage: Eukaryota; Metazoa; Chordata; Mammalia; Rodentia; Muridae. The record is from RNAcentral.